RNAcentral lists this transfer RNA (47 nucleotides) under Clostridium sp. CAG:299. It matches the Rfam family "tRNA", at positions 26 to 71 of the family's 71-position model. From Rfam's summary of the family: Transfer RNA (tRNA) molecules are approximately 80 nucleotides in length. Their secondary structure includes four short double-helical elements and three loops (D, anti-codon, and T loops). Further hydrogen bonds mediate the characteristic L-shaped molecular structure. tRNAs have two regions of fundamental functional importance: the anti-codon, which is responsible for specific mRNA codon recognition, and the 3' end, to which the tRNAs corresponding amino acid is attached (by aminoacyl-tRNA synthetases). tRNAs cope with the degeneracy of the genetic code in two manners: having more than one tRNA (with a specific anti-codon) for a particular amino acid; and 'wobble' base-pairing, i.e. permitting non-standard base-pairing at the 3rd anti-codon position. Lineage: Bacteria; Bacillati; Bacillota; Clostridia; Eubacteriales; Clostridiaceae. The record is from Rfam by way of RNAcentral.
GAGGACUGAAAAUCCUCGUGUCGCUGGUUCGAUUCCGGCUCUGGGCA